Molecule: long non-coding RNA, 5704 nt
Organism: Pan troglodytes (chimpanzee)
Lineage: Eukaryota; Metazoa; Chordata; Mammalia; Primates; Hominidae
Exons: 2
Source: RefSeq, a predicted model, not a curated record
CCAGAAGAAGGGGGGUGAACGGUGUGAGCAAAGACCGUGAGGCUGGAGGCUGGCCACGGGAGGUGUGAGGGGUAGGGGCAGGGUGGGAGGUGGGCUCGCGGGUGGGCUGGGGUCAUGAAGGGCCUCAGGCGCUCUGCUAUUGGGUUCCAAGGCUAUCCUGAGAACAGGGGUGAGGGGGGAUUGCCGUGGGGGGUUAAAGCCUUGUCAUGUUCGCUUUCGGGAGGUAAAAACAACAGGUGGCCUUUAUGGAGACGCUGCCCAGAGCCAGGUCUGUGCCAGGCUCCUGUUGGGGGUCGUCAUGCGGAAUCCUGACUCUGACCAUCCGAGGCAUAGGGACCGUGGAGAUUUGCAUUUCACAGAUGAGGAAACAGGCUCCAGGCUCCUCGCCGGGACAGUGUCUCCUUGGGUGCGUGCUGGAUCCCUGGGGGACGUGGCACAUCCCCAGGCUUGCUAAACAUUGGGUGGGUUCUGGCAUUUGGUUUUGUAACGUUUCUGGGUCACUCCCGCCUGUGGCCACCCUUCCUUAGGGGAGCCUUGUGUCCUUGGGGCUUUGCUGGGUGGUCUCGAGGGUGGGAGAAGAAUGGGUUCUCCUGGACCAAUGGAGCCCGUGCCCCUCGGGGCCACAUUGCUCCUGCGCUCCCUGACUGCGGACGCGUGUGUCUCGCGGCUGUCUCUGUGGAGAUGGCCUCCUCCUGCCUGGCAGCAGCGCCCACAGAAUUGCAUCAGACCUACCCCACCCGUUGUUUCUGAUGCUGUAGCUGAGGGCUCCUCUGUCUGCCAGGCCGGUCACUGGGGACUCUGUCCAGGUCCUGGUGGUUCCUGCUUCCCAGCACCUGAUGGUGUCCAUGAGAGCAGCCCCUCAGGAGCUGUCCAGGAGAGAAGGGCGCUGGUGGCUGCUGAGCAGAGGGCAAGGCCCGUGUUCUCCAGGCCCUUGGCACAGCAGUGGAGCCCCCGCCCCUGCCUUGUGUUGUCCUCUUAGGCUCUGGUCCUGGGGUUUGGAGGAGGGGGACCCUGGGAGUUGGUGGCCUGUCCCAGCCUGAGCUGGCAAGAUUCCGAAUGCCAGGCCCCUCAAGUGUGCAACAGGGCACAGGGUGACCUCAUGUGGGCAGGUGGGUGCUGUUCUGUACACACCUGGGGCCGCCGCUGGGAGAGUUCUGGAAGGUGGGGUGAGGGGACCCAUGGGAAACUAGGGCCUUAGGAAGGAUGUUAAGGCCCUGGCUGGCCCCCCAGGCCACCCUCUGUGCUGUGGGGGCAGCCCAGCCAUUUUGCUGUCUACCCUGCAAACUCCUCCUCGGGGAGACGGCUGGGUUUUCCCCAGGGAAGAGGGGUCAAGCUGGGAGAGGUGAAGGACACAGAUCACAGCUGCUGGCAGGUGUUUAAGGGUCCAGGAGCGUUGCUGUCGGGGUGUCACCAGUAGCCUUCCUGGGGGGCUCACGCAGGUGCCUCUCCACUUGUGGCUCCCUGGCUGCUGAAGCUCAGCAGGGACAGCUGUGUCCAGUUCCAGGUGGAGGACAGCCAGGGCUUCUGAGGCCACAGCCUGCCUUGGGUUAAUGAUGCUGCCGAGAGGUGGUGGCUUUUGGAAAAGAUGGCAUACUGCAAAACGUGCUGCUCUGUGUGGCUCGAAGCUUCGUGGGGAGACGUGGGCAGAGCCGUGGCUGACUCACAGACCCCCCACCCCAGAGCCUGCCCUGCCCUCCCUGCCCUCCCUGCCCCGAGCCUUCUCCCUCCUGACCCAUGUGUUUUUUUUUUUUUUUUUUUUUUUUUUGAGACAGAGUUCACUCUUGUUGCCAAGGCUGGAGUGCAAUGGCACGAUCUCGGCUCAUGGCAACCUCCGCCUCCUGGGUUCAAGCGCUUUUCCUGCCUCAGCCUCCCGAGUAGCUGGGAUUACAGGCGUGCACCACCAUGCCUGGCUAAUUUUGUAUUUUUAGUAGAGACAGGGUUUCUCCAUAUUGGUCAGGCUGGUCUUGAACUCCUGACCUCAGAUGAUCCGCCCGCCUCGGCCUCCCACAGUGCUGGGAUUACAGGCAUGAGCCACCACGCCCAGCCCUGACCCAUGUUUUGAACCAAAUUCCAGCCACCCUUUUAUCUGCAAGCAUUUUGGAGGGCAUCGCAAUACUGCAGACCCACCUAACACAACAGACAAUUCCUUCAUGCCACCGAAGGCCUGGUGUGUUCACAUUUUUGGUUUAAUAGUUUGAAUUAAGAGCCAAAUAAGGUCCACACACUGCAAUUAGUUGACGUCUUUUUUUUUUUUUUUUUUUUUUUUUUUUGAGACGGAGUCUUGCUCUUGUCUGCAGGCCGCAGUGCAGUGGCAUGAUCUCAGCUCACCGCAACCUCCGACUCCCUGGUUCAAGCGAUUCUCCUGCCUCAGCCUCCCGAGUACCUGGUAGCUGGGUUUACAGGCGUGCACCACCGUGCCCAGCUAAUUUUUGUAUUUUUAGUAGAGACGGGGUUUUACCGUGUUGGCCAGGAUGGUCUCGAUCUCCUGACCUCGUGAUCUGCCCACGUCGGCCUCCCAAAGUGCUGGGAUUACAGGUGUGAGCCACCACACCCGGCCAAUGUCUUUUAAAAAUAUAUACGUUUUUGUUUUUGUUUUUGUUUUUUGAGACGGAGUUUCGCUCUUGUUGCCCAGGCUGGAGUGCAGUGGCGCGAUCUCAGCUCACGGCAACCUCCGCCUCCCGGGUUCAAGUGAUUCUCCUGCCUCAGCCUCUCCAGUAGCUCGGAUUACAGGCAUGUGCCACCAUGCCUGGCUAAUUUUGUAUUUUUAGGAGAGACGGGGUUUCUCCACGUUGGUGAGGCUGGUCUCAAACUCCUGACCUCAAGUGAUCCGCCUGCCUUGGCCUCCCAAAGUGUUGGGAUUACAGGUGUGAGCCAGCGUGCCCAGACAAAAAUAUAUAUGUGUCUUUAAGGCUGGUCAAGCAAAGCAUUGGGACUGGAGAAAGAAUGAAGAAUUCUACCUGGCUGUGAUCAAUUCGUUGUGAACACCACUGUGCUUGGACCAGCUAGCUGAUGUCUUUUGUUUUGUUUUGUUUGAGACGGAGUCUGGCUCUGUCACCCAGGCUGGAGGACAAUGGUGUGAUCUCGGCUCACUGCAGCCUCCACCUCCCGGGUUCAAGCGAUUCUCCUGCCUCAGCCUCCUGAGUAGCUGGGAUUAGAGGCGCGUGCCACCACGCCCGGCUAAUUUUUAAAAAUAUUUUUAGUAGAGAUGGGGUUUCACCAUGUUGGUCAGGCUGGUCUUGAACUCUUGGCCUUAGGUGAUCUGCUUGCCUCGGCCUCCCGAAGUGCUGGGAUUACAGGUGUGAGUGAUGCAUUUUAUUUAUUUAUUUAUUUAUUAUUAUUAUUUGAGAUGGAGUCUCACUCUGUUGCCCAGGCUGGAGUGCAGCCGUGCCAUCUCGGCUCACUGCAAGCUCCGCCUCCUGGGUUCACGCCAUUCUCCUGCCUCAGCCUCCCGAGUAGUCUGGACUGGUGCCCGCCACCAUGCCCAGCUAAUUUUUUGUAUUUUUAGUAGAGACGGGGUUUCACCGUGUUAGCCAGGAUGGUCUGGAUCUCCUGACCUCGUGAUCCGCCCGCCUCGGCCUCCCAAAGUGCUGGGACUACAGGCGUGAGCCACCGCCUGUCUUUUAAGUGUCCGAUGAUGCCUAGGAGCUUCCCUUCCUCUCUUUUUCCUUGUGCAAUUUGUUGAAGAAACUGGCUCCUGCAGCCUGGAUUUCUCGCUGUGUCUUGGGGGUGCCACCUCCAUGGUGUCACCUCCGUGGUGCUGUGAGUGUGUCCUUCGUGUUUCUUGUAAAUUGGUCAUUGGAGCCGACAUCCCAUUGUCCCAGAGGUUGUCCUGGCUGGCACUGACCUAGGUGUAGAUGUCAUCAGCUCAGGGCCCCCUGCUCUAAAGGCCACUUCUGGUGCUGGUUGCCACUCACCCUGGCUGGGGGUCACCUGGGUCUGCUGCUGUCUCGCAAAUGCUGGGGUCCAGGACUGGGCACAUCGAGGGACUUGGUAGGUGCUUGGUUCACUGAUGUAAAAUAUAGGAGCACCCGGGGCCUUGCCCUUUCCCACCCGCAUCCCUGAAUGACAGGAGAGUGUGGGAGAGUGUAGGGGCAGGAGGGGCAGACCCCGGGGCCCCUGCCUGGGAUUGGCGUCGGGGAAGACAGGCAUUCUGGAGCGACCCCUAGGCCUGAUGCCUUAGAGCGCAACUGCCAGAGACACAGCUUCCUUGGGGGGCUGGCCAGGCCACGGAGGGGCCCCUGGCUCCCAUUUCUGGUCCCUGGAUCCUGAGAGCGAGGACUAGGGAUUGUCACCAAGGCCUCCAUGAGCCCUCAGCGGAAGGAGGGCCACCCUCGAGGGCUCCGUUAUCACUGGAGCCCGCGUUCAACCAACACGCAGAUGAUUCUCCAAGGACAGAGAUGGAUGAUGGGGAGGGGGCUGGCCUGGAAGGACCCCCAGUGCAGGUGACAUUGAAGCCAGGUUUCAAAGCUCCCACAGGGAGCUGCCCAGAGAGAGUCCCCAAGGGGCAAGGUGACUCGGGGGCAGGGGUAGGGCCUCUGUCAGGAGAGCCUAGGAGAGGCCCGUGUCUUCUAGGAAGAGCCCUGGCAGCAGAGCGGAGGCAGUGAUGAGGACCUGCAUCCUGCAUGUCCAGCUGGCCUCACCCGGGGUCCCUGAGCCGGGUCUUACGUGGCUCCCGCACUCGGGCGUUCAGAAUGUGCCUGCGUGAGAAACGGUAGUUUCUUUAUUAGACAUGGGUGCAAACUCGCCAAACUUGUGGACAAAAAUGUGGACAAGAAGUCACACGCUCACUCCUGUACGCGAUUGCCGGCAGGGGUGGGGGAAGGGAUGGGGAGGCUUUGGUUGUGUCUGCAGCAGUUGGGAAUGUAGGGCACCCGAGCUCCCACACUGCAGAGGCGACUGUGGAGACAGAGAGCACCUGCAGGUCAUCCAUGCAGUAUCGGCUUGCAUCCAGAUCAUACAGGGAACACUAUGAUUCAACAACAGACAGGGACCCCGUUUAAACAUGGACAAGGGGUCACUCACGCCUGGAAUCCCAGCAGUUUGGGAGGCCAGGGUGGGUGGAUCGCUUGAGCCCAGGAGUUUCACACCAGCCUGGGCAACAGGGUGAGACCCCGGUCUCUAAAAAAUAAAAGAACAUUGGCCGGGCGUGGUGGUAUGCAUCUGUGGUCCCAGCUAUUCAGGAGACUGAGGUGGGACAUCACUUGAGCCGAGGAGAUCAAGGCUGCAGUGAGCUGUGAUCACACCACUGCACUCCAGGCUGGGUCACAGAGCAAGACCCUGUCUCAAAAAAAAAAAAAAAAAAAAAAAAUCACAGGAUCUGAACAGAGAUUUCUCCAAAGAAGACGCACAGAUGGCCAACAGCGUGUGAGAAGAUGGUCGGCCUCAUUAGUCAUGAGGGAAACGGAAAUCAAAACCACUGUCCAGCCGGGCGCAGUGCCUCACGCCUGUAAUCCCAGCACUUUAGGAGAGCAGAUGGCUUGAGGCCAGGAGUUUGAGGCCAGCCUGGGCAACAUAGCGAGACCAAUAAAUAGAUAUUAGUGGUGGUGCCUGUAGUCCCAGCUAGUUGGGAGGCUGAGGGGGGAGGAUUCCCUGAGUCUAUGAGGUUGAGACUGCAGUUAGCUGUGAUGGUGCCACUGCACUCCAGCCUGGGCGACUAGGAAACGGUCUUUAAAAAAAAAACAAAACAAAACAGGGUGGGCGCGGU